Molecule: ribosomal RNA, 197 nt
Filed under: Malus domestica (apple)
Lineage: Eukaryota; Viridiplantae; Streptophyta; Magnoliopsida; Rosales; Rosaceae
Description: rRNA MD04G0091500
Rfam family: Bacterial small subunit ribosomal RNA
Source: RNAcentral
ACAAAGGGCGAUCAGUGAUGCUGCAUUUGGCAUAGAUAAAGGAUAGCCUAAUAAGGGUCAAUCCCAAUAUAGAUCAGCCUCACUCCAAAAACCCGUCCUCAGUUCGGAUUGUAGGCUGCAACUCGCCUACAUGAAGCCGGAAUCGCUAGUAAUCGCCGGUCAGCCAUAUGGCGGUGAAUUUGUUCCCGGGCCUUGUA